UAGGAAUGUAAUUAAAUCUUAUUAGUUUGGGGAGUAUGAAACUGUUAUUGCAGGAUUUUAUGGGUGACAUAGGUUCAGAGAAGAAAAUUAUGGAUGAAUCGAGUGUUUGAGGAAAAUGUCUUGUUGAAUUGCACAAAUAUUUAAGUGCAAUUUCUUGUUUAUUUGAACAAUCAAUGUCUUACUUGUUUUUAAACUUUUCACAUACCCAUGGUUG
Molecule: unclassified non-coding RNA, 214 nt
Filed under: Hevea brasiliensis (rubber tree)
Lineage: Eukaryota; Viridiplantae; Streptophyta; Magnoliopsida; Malpighiales; Euphorbiaceae
Source: RNAcentral